UAAGGACGGUUUCCCCUCAUGCCCACAGUCAGCUUCUGCUUUGAUCGAGUGCUGGUGUGCGUUACUGUCUCUCCGGCACAUGUGAUUAUUAUUUUUUUUUUUCCAACUAGAUUCAUGUGAUGUUUGCCUGGGUACUUGUGGUGAUGUCCUGAGUUCACCACCACCAGCAUCACCAUGAAGGCAGGUCUGCUCAUCACCACAUAAGGAAGAAGCUGAUGUUUGCCUGGGUACUUGUGGUGAUGUCCUGAGUUCACCAGCAUCACCAUGAAGGCAGGUCUGCUCAUCACCACAUAAGGAAGAAGCUGGUGA
This is a long non-coding RNA of Scylla paramamosain (green mud crab), 309 nucleotides long. RefSeq lists it as uncharacterized. The transcript is spliced from 3 exons. NCBI's taxonomy places the organism in Eukaryota, Metazoa, Arthropoda, Malacostraca, Decapoda, Portunidae. The record is from RefSeq and is a predicted model, not a curated record.